Long non-coding RNA from Acinonyx jubatus (cheetah), 1265 nucleotides. RefSeq lists it as uncharacterized. The transcript has 3 exons. The record is from RefSeq and is a predicted model, not a curated record. NCBI's taxonomy places the organism in Eukaryota, Metazoa, Chordata, Mammalia, Carnivora, Felidae.
AGCUGCAAGCUCAUUCCAGCCGAUCACACAAACAAAGACAAGGCUUAUAGUGCAUACAUGUUUUCUGGAAGAUUUUAAUGAAAUAGAUAGCUGGUUAGAUACACAUUCACUGAUUCAAGCAUGGUUUAACUUUACCUUGGCUCUUGUCUAGAUUUCUAUUCAAAUUCCUAUUUUUUGAGAACUUUUAUUUCCCUUGUUUGUUUCAGCCUGGCAAUUUCUGCCCCACGCAACCAAGAGAUCUCUAACUGGCACACAUUCUUGUGUCUGAGUCACAUCAUUCCAUGGCGCUUUGGGCUGCAGGCUGAUGUAACAGGAAACGCCUUGCCGCGUCUCACAGGCCUGGCCCUGGGGCAAGCCUUCCUGACGACUGGCAGCACAGGACCUGAGGCCCCUCCUUGGCUCUCCUGUCAGUGCUCCCCCGGCCUGCUGGGCUGCCCGGAGCUCUCAAAAGGAAAACCUUCUUUAUGAGCGUCCACCCUCCAGGUGGCUUGUGAACUUGGCCUCCCACUGGGGUAUGCCUGCUUUCUCUCAGGGAUGGGAUCGUGAACAUCAAACUGGAGGCCCAUUUCCCCAAUAGUGUGGCCUUCCAGAGCCAGAACGCUGUCCUCUUUGGCAGCAACGAAUGGAGACCAUGGAGUUGCCAGGUAAAUUUGUAGGUCAGUUGGAAUUUCAGAUCAAUGGCAAAUGAUUUUUAGUAUAAAUAUGUUUCAUGCAUUAAUUGUAAAGGAGGCAAAACACUUACACUAAAAAGUUUUUGUUUACUUGAAAUUCUAAUUUAAGUGGGCAUCCUGCUUUUAUUCAUUUGGUUUUUUGUUUCUGCUAAAUCUGGCAACACUAAAUCCACAUUGUUUUACUAACACCAUCUCAGGAUGGUGACAUUCAGACAUCACAAUCAUCAACCCCUGCCUUUGAGAAAGCACAGCAAUCAGUUAUCAGUGUUAAUGUUAACGUCUGACACAUGGGGCUGCAGCCACACCAGGUGACCGUCCUUGUUCAGGCAGGAUGCUUUAAAUGGGACUGCUUGCCUAGCUUUGCCUUCAGAGUUGUGACUCUCAUAGGUGGUGUUCCUCCUGUCUAUCUAUAAAACAAUGGAGAGAGUGUCUCUUUAGCUCCAGGACCUUGUAAAGGUGAGAAAAUGAUUGGGGCACCUGGGUGGCUCAAGUUUGUAGAGGGUCCGGCUUGGCUUAGGUCAUGAUCUCGCAGUUUGUGGGUGUGAGCCCUGCGUGGGGCUCUGUGCCGAGAGAUUCUGUCUCCCUCCCUCUCUC